RNAcentral lists this ribosomal RNA (545 nucleotides) under uncultured bacterium. RNAcentral describes it as "partial 16S ribosomal RNA". It matches the Rfam family "Bacterial small subunit ribosomal RNA", at positions 356 to 892 of the family's 1533-position model. The record is from RNAcentral.
AGGGAAUCUUCCACAAUGGACGCAAGUCUGAUGGAGCAACGCCGCGUGAGUGAAGAAGGUUUUCGGACCGUAAAGCUCUGUUGUUGGUGAAGAAGGAUAGAGGUAGUAACUGGCCCUUUAUUUGACGGUAAUCAACCAGAAAGUCACGGCUAACUACGUGCCAGCAGCCGCGGUAAUCGUAGGUGGCAAGCGUUGUCCGGAUUUAUUGGGCGUAAAGCGAGCGCAGGCGGAAGAAUAAGUCUGAUGUGAAAGCCCUCGGCUUAACCGAGGAAUUGCAUCGGAAACUGUUUUCUUGAGUGCAGAAGAGGAGAGUAGAACUCCAUGUGUAGCGGUGGAAUGCGUAGAUAUAUGGAAGAAUACCAGUGGCGAAGGCGGCUCUCUGGUCUGCAACUGACGCUGAGGCUCGAAAGCAUGGGUAGCGAACAGGAUUAGAUACCCUGGUAGUCCAUGCCGUAAACGAUGAGUGCUAAGUGUUGGGAGGCUUCCGCCUCUCAGUGCUGCAGCUAACGCAUUAAGCACUCCGCCUGGGGGAGUACGACCGCAAG